CGGGGUUGUGCAAUCCUGCGUACGCACAGAGAUGGCACAGUGCGACUUGUGAUAGCCUGUGCUCCCUGCUCACGCAUUGCAGCAUCCGGAAACGGAAUCGAGAGGGGCCGGGCUGAACAGGAGGUGUUAUGGACAGACUGCUUCCUUCAUGUGUCACUACCAUCAUCUGCAAGAUCACAGAGCUUAAAGAGAAGGUUUACCCUCUACAUCAGGAAACCUCACCAUUCUCUGUCUGAACUGAACACUGAACCAUGAACCUCAAAGGAACCUAAACUCUCCCAAUGACUGGAACAUCCUGAUGUAAUGAUCCAACACAGUCUUGGCUUCCAUGACAGCUUAAUAAGGAUAAGCCCACGUAACCAGAGAUUAUCCAGUUCUCAUUUGGAAAACACACUCUGCAUUUAUUAUCUCAUAUAUGCCAAGAAAAGAAGGGAAAAAAAAGAAAGCUAAGAAGGCACUGGUUUUCAUCCAAGAAUACAAAAAAAGAGUACUGAAGACUUAGGUACCUAAGAGUGGAAGAAAAUCAAAGCCAAGGCUUGCCAAAAGUCACAAAAUAAUUCAGAUAUGAAUUGUGGAAUCACCACAGAGAUCUCCAAGAUAAGAAAUGCAGUUCUGACUGGCAGCUAUUCUUAAGGUAAAAAUUUGGUAAAACUGCAAAACACUUGUGAAAAGUG
This 674-nucleotide long non-coding RNA is filed under the name Cyanistes caeruleus (blue tit). Its description in RNAcentral is "lncRNA (ENSCCEG00000008286.1)". The record is from RNAcentral. Lineage: Eukaryota; Metazoa; Chordata; Aves; Passeriformes; Paridae.